ACAUCUGUAAACGAUAAUUGACAAUGCAAUCGUAAUCGUAAACAGAAUCUUAAUCAGGCCAGCAAUCGUAAAUAUAAUUGCAAUUGGCUUUUUAAUGCCCCAAUUAAUGCGCAAUUUAAUUGAUUAUCGUACAAUUUCUGGCUUUGAUUAAUAUUCUAUUUACCGGUGCUAUUUGCAAAGCAACGGUUUCGUUCUUAUUUAAUGUCCGCUUUGUAGCCCUUUUUUAAAUGCCCGAGCAAUGCUCAGUCUUAACCCAUCCUCCCUAUUUUCUGGCCUGUUAGCGCGCGCCACCAAGCGGACACGGCGAAACUAGUACUUCCCCCUUCAUGGUGUUCACAUGAGGCGGCAAAGGCAGACAAGAUAUAGAUGCAAAGAAGAGAUAGGCAAUUGUAUCAAGGAUUUUUACCAAUAUUUUCAGCCCCAGCGGUUUUUCAUCCUCCAUUGUUAUCGUCGCAACUCGCAAAUCCAGUUCAGAGAGGCAUGGCAGAUCAAAUUCCGAGAUACCAUGACAACAAUUCACCUGGUGUCACAAACCAAGUUUACAACUACAAUCAGAAAAAUUCACCUGGUGUGUCAAACCAAGUGCUCCACAUGACUGCAAACAGCUCGCCUGGUGUUGCAAACCAAGUAUUGAGAAUGAUUACUGAUUUGGCUUCGCAGCUUCAACAGCAGUCAGCACAGCAAGGACAAGGUGUUGAUUUUGGCUCUGACAAUCUUGAUUCACCUGGUGUGUCAAACCAAGUGCUGAACAUGACUGCUAACAGCUCACCUGCUGUGGCAAACCAGGCUGAGAGACUAGAUGACUAUGGGAAUCUGUAUGUUCUUUGAACUGCUCACCAGUUGCUUCUGCUUAACGACCAAACUCAAAAGUCAUUGGAUGCACAUCAGCUUGCCAUUUAUUUAGAUCUUGGCUACACUGCCACAUUCAUUGCGGAAUUGACUGGUGUUCACUUAAAAAAAGUAAGGAGAAUGAUGGAAUAAUAAUUUAAUUCAUAUUUUUUGUUUUCACAGGAUGAACCUGGUAGAGACGGAGGAGAUCCCGAUGAUUGGGACCAAACUGUUCAUACUAUUCCCGCUGUGGAUGUCGCUGCUUUUCGUUGUCCAUUGAAUGCUGAGCAGUUAUUCGAGAUGGAGAGGCGCAUCAGAAAAGAACAGAUUGAUCUCGAAAAUUUACACAUACAUUAAAUACCAGGAUGUGAAAAAUUAUGUUUUGAACUCAUUGGUUAACUGAGCCCUUUUUAUUUGCCUUUCUAACACUUCUCACUCUGCCAACUCAUUCCAAUACGUGUCGAAAAUUGGCUGUUGAUGUGUAGAUAUUGCCACUUGCUGGUUCAUGUGAAAGUCAAUAAAAAGCGUAACGAUAGGUCUUAACGUUA
Daphnia pulicaria is the source of this 1376-nucleotide long non-coding RNA. RefSeq lists it as uncharacterized. The transcript is spliced from 4 exons. The record is from RefSeq and is a predicted model, not a curated record. NCBI's taxonomy places the organism in Eukaryota, Metazoa, Arthropoda, Branchiopoda, Diplostraca, Daphniidae.